Molecule: long non-coding RNA, 3012 nt
Filed under: Nicotiana tabacum (common tobacco)
Lineage: Eukaryota; Viridiplantae; Streptophyta; Magnoliopsida; Solanales; Solanaceae
Description: long non-coding RNA (NTAB_LNC018251)
Source: RNAcentral
CCCAUCUGACUUUUGACCUCAAAAACUUGUAAAGAUACAUUCAUAGUCUUAAGAAAAAAAAUUGAAAAUGCAAGCACUUUGAAACCAAAAUUCAGAACAAAAUCGUUGAAAAAGGUAAGAAGAUCACAAUGCACAGAUCCAAAGACAGAAUCAACAGUCACAAAACUUGCACAAACAAAAGGCAGAAAUAAAGACAAGACAAUUAAAAAAAAGAAAGAUAAGAGAGAUGAAACAACACCAACAUCCCAAUACAGCAAAUAUACAACUAGAAGAGGAUAAACACAUAAAAAGAGGACCUUUACAAGAGAAAUCCACUAAAAUUAUCAUCAGAAAAUGGAACAAUGAACAUAAUUUCAAGAAAUUAACAAAGACCAAGUCUUUUUUUUAAAUGCUCAGCUUCAGAACAAAAAAACCAGCAAGAUAUAUCCAGCUCCUAACUAACACCAAAGGAAUCCAAGAAACCCCAUCAACUAGAAAGAGGAGACUGUGCCUAUCCAUAAAGGAUUUAAAUUUUGCCUUGGAAGAAGAGAAACGAAGUGGUAUACUGAAUGUAACCUUAAAUCUCUCAAACAACCAAAGAGAUAUAAAGUACUGAAAUUUACAACUACUACAAAAUCAAAGCAAAAUGUAACAGAUUAAAAAAGGGGAAAAUUAGAAUUUAAAAUGAGUUUCUUGUGUUUUCUCCAAUCCCCUUCUUGUAAGCAUGCACAAGAAAAGAAAGGGAGAGAGGGAGAUGUCCAUGAAGCAGGACCAAGUACUUAGAAAAAUUACAUCACCUGACAUGAGCUUAUUCAUAACACUAGUAUCAACUAAAAGAAAAUGAUCUACAUACACCUCCAGGAUUCAGCUUUUACUGCAAUAGCACUACAAGUUGACAACUAAAAAAGGGAAGAAUCACAUAAAAUGGAACAUUAUUAGUAUCUGUUUGAGAUUAUGGUUGAAUUUCAUUAUGGUUUUGCCUCUUUUUUUUUAACCAGAGAACCAGCUCCGUCAGUUCAAUUCAAACUCAAUCAAACAGUCUCAACUCAGAUGUCUUCUGCAACAAAGAAUCCCAAGGAACUAUCAAAAAGCUGGGCAGAUCAAGCAGAUGAGAAAAAAGGGAAUGAGGUAGACUCGCUAGACAGUCAUGUGUCAAUUUAUAAGGAAAAUGCAAGUCCUACCAAUGCACAAAAGUUCAAUAAACAUAACUCAAACGCAGAAUAUUAAAAAUAGAACAAGAGACAAUCCGCAACUCACAACUUUAGUAACCUACUUAAAUGAGAUUCAGAUUCGAAUUAGAGCAAACCUAAAUGAGAUUUUUAGAUAUUUUAUAUACACUCACAAGUCUCUUGCGAUGCUCCCCAACACUGAUAGAGCCACCCGUGUGAGCCACCGGAUAAUAUUUUGUGCUUAUUAAUGGUCCAUGAGCAAGACUACGCAAGAAUUGGUUCUCAAUGUGGUUGCAUCGAACCUAUUUCAAAAAAAUUAUAAGACUUAGUUAAAUAUAACAAGCCAAUUCAAGAACAUAAUUGCUUAAAAGAUAAUGAUUUUUAUAGUCUUACAUAUUCCUUGAACCAUAUAGCAAAAUACGUUUCGAAACUCUCAUUUAUUUGAUCCUGAUAUAGAUUGGGGAAUUCUUCUUGCAACCGUUGUAUGUAUAUACUUCAUUGCAACAAAAUAAGUUAAAUACAAACUCAAAAUAUAUGGAUAUAUUUAUUAUUAUAAAAAUGAUACCUUACAAACGGCUCAACCUCUACACAAUUUAGUAGAAUAUAAGUUUGGGAUGCCUUGAUUUCUUCGAGGGACAAACUUCUCUUUUUUCCUUCUCCCCAUAGUCAGCCUAGAUGGGUGAAUAUUGAUAAAUUUCUUUCAAGAUCUUCCAUAACACCAUCAUCAUCAUUACGGGCCACAUUAUGAUUACGUGUCAUGACAUGAGGUUUAAAAUAAUGAGAAAACAAUUGUAUUGAUUCCAUCAUCAAGUAUGCUUCACAAAUUGAACUAUUAUGGAAAUAUUAGACUUUGAAUAUUUCACGCAAAAAAUAAAUAAUUAGCACAUUCAUAUGUUCAUCUUCUCGAAAUAUUAGACUUUGAAGGGAGAAAUUCAACUACUGAAUCGUCCUUUCUUCUAAUACUCCAUUAAUUAACUCUGGGAUUCCAGUCCAUCUCCUCCAAUUCUUCUCACAACACAUGUAAUGUACUAACAUUAGACCUCAAAAUUACACGCAAUUAGCCUCAAAAUGACCUUUCUUCACCAUUAUAUGUACUACUCUAUUUCAAACACAGAUUUUUUUUAGCAAUAAAUAUCAUCCACAAUGGGAUAAGUCUCCCAAAAUGAAAAUAAAGGAAAGAACAAUGAACAUCGUGGCUUUUCAAUGUAGCUUAUGUAUUUUUGUUAAGUACUGUUGUCAAAUCGUCUAAACAGCACUUGACCGUCCAUAAGCACUAUUUCAAACACAGAAUUAGUUGAUGCUAUAUGCAUGCCAGAGUAAUUUUCCCUCUAAGAAAUUAUUAUAAAUGAGUGACUGCUUUAACCAACAUUCAUCCUUUAGCAGCAAAAGACAUACAACCUCCACCCAACAGAUUUCCAGGCCUAACUGAAACUACUAACUCUGCUAUAAAUAAACAGGACUAAACAUCAAACAGAUAGAGAAGAUGAUGGUCUGAGAGGUCAGCUUGUUGCUCCAAAGCAAAAUAAAGCACAAGACAGGAUGAACAUGAUUCUCGCCCAGAUCUACAAUACAUAAUGAAAUCACAAAGAAGCUUACCUUUUCAAGGGCAUACAAUCCCUAAAAUCAACGCACGACUUCAAAUUUCAAAAUUUUGCAAACACACGACUUCGAAUUUCAAAUUUUCGUAGCAAAAAUUUUGCAAUUUUGAAAGUUUUCUUCCUAUUUUUCAGACAUUAACCCUAGAUUCACGCCCAAUUUUUUGUAUUUGAAGAAAAAAACUCACGAAGAGGAGUGAAAGUGGGAGUCUGAUAGAGAGGAGAGAAAGGGGGCGUGUUUGUGCCCUAAUUGUUGGAAUGUUUUUUAG